This 247-nucleotide ribosomal RNA is filed under the name uncultured bacterium. RNAcentral's name for it is "partial 16S ribosomal RNA". It matches the Rfam family "Bacterial small subunit ribosomal RNA", at positions 523 to 769 of the family's 1533-position model. The record is from RNAcentral.
AUACGUAGGGUGCGAGCGUUGUCCGGAUUUAUUGGGUUUAAAGGGUGCGUAGGCGGGCUAGUAAGUCAGUGUUCAAAUACAACAGCUUAACUGUUGGCCGGGCAUUGAUACUGCUAGUCUUGAGUAAGGUUAAGGCAGCUGGAAUUUGUGGUGUAGCGGUGAAAUGCUCAGAUACCACAAGGAACGCCGAUCGUGAAGACAGGCUGCAGGGCCUUUACUGACGCUGAGGCACGAAAGUGUGGGGAGC